This 425-nucleotide ribosomal RNA is filed under the name uncultured bacterium. RNAcentral's name for it is "bacterial SSU rRNA". It matches the Rfam family "Bacterial small subunit ribosomal RNA", at positions 355 to 796 of the family's 1533-position model. The record is from RNAcentral.
UGGGGAAUCUUGCGCAAUGGGCGAAAGCCUGACGCAGCAACGCCGCGUGGGGGACGAAGGCUCUCGGGUUGUAAACCCCUUUCAGCAGGAACGAAAUUGACGGUACCUGCAGAAGAAGCCCCGGCCAACUACGUGCCAGCAGCCGCGGUAAUACGUAGGGGGCGAGCGUUGUCCGGAUUCAUUGGGCGUAAAGAGCUCGUAGGCGGUUUGGUAAGUCGGGUGUGAAAACCCCAGGCUCAACCUGGGGACGCCACCUGAUACUGCCAUGACUUGAGUCUGGUAGGGGAUCACGGAAUUCCUGGUGUAGCGGUGAAAUGCGCAGAUAUCAGGAGGAACACCGGUGGCGAAGGCGGUGAUCUGGGCCAGUACUGACGCUGAGGAGCGAAAGCGUGGGUAGCAAACAGGAUUAGAUACCCCCGUAGUCC